GGGUGUGAUGGUGAGCUGGUGGUGACAUUUGUCACCACAUUAAUUGCUAGGGUUGAUUCAGCUGAUCUGGCUGGCUAAGUAAGUGUCCCCUUCCUCCCUCACCAAUCCAUGCUCACCCUUCCUAAGCUGCCUAUCUGAUGGAAGAGAAAGACCCUCCCUUUAGUCAAGGGUAUACGAGCAGCUAUGCUCCCCUGCUAGAACCUCCAAACAAGCUCUCAGACAUUGAAGUUGCUUAUUUGUGUAUGAUGAGUGGUUUCUUUUGUUAAUGAAUCCUUUGAACCUGAAA
Molecule: unclassified non-coding RNA, 286 nt
Organism: Bison bison bison
Lineage: Eukaryota; Metazoa; Chordata; Mammalia; Artiodactyla; Bovidae
Gene: 7SK
Rfam family: 7SK RNA
About the family: 7SK was discovered as an abundant small nuclear RNA in the mid-70s but a possible function has only recently been suggested.
Source: Ensembl